This 274-nucleotide long non-coding RNA is filed under the name Homo sapiens (human). RNAcentral describes it as "non-protein coding lnc-DUXA-2:1". Lineage: Eukaryota; Metazoa; Chordata; Mammalia; Primates; Hominidae. The record is from RNAcentral.
AUGGACCCAUGACAAAAGUUUAACCUAACCUUCAUCCGAGUCUUCGCAAAUGCUCACUGAAGAAAAUUCCUAAGACAAUUCAGGGGCCUCUCAUACCCUCUACUGUGAGAUGUUACUAAAGAACCUUAGUAACUUGACUCUCAACUCCACUACCAACCCUUCCCCUCUAGCAGAAGGUUCACCCGAGCAACAGGAUAGAAAAGAAACAAUCUUCCAGGACAUCAGAGGUGGCUAGACUUACAGGAGGAAAUUAGUAAAAACAUUGCUCUCUGUG